AUACGGAGGAUCCGAGCGUUAUCCGGAUUUAUUGGGUUUAAAGGGAGCGUAGGUGGGUUGUUAAGUCAGUUGUGAAAGUUUGCGGCUCAACCGUAAAAUUGCAGUUGAAACUGGCAGUCUUGAGUACAGUAGAGGUGGGCGGAAUUCGUGGUGUAGCGGUGAAAUGCUUAGAUAUCACGAAGAACUCCGAUUGCGAAGGCAGCUCACUAGACUGUUACUGACACUGAUGCUCGAAAGUGUGGGUAUCAAACAGGAUUAGAUACCCUGGUAGUCCACACAGUAAACGAUGAAUACUCGCUGUUUGCGAUAUACAGUAAGCGGCCAAGCGAAAGCAUUAAGUAUUCCACCUGGGGAGUACGCCGGCAACGGUGAAACUCAAAUGAAUUGACGGGG
Molecule: ribosomal RNA, 393 nt
Filed under: uncultured bacterium
Lineage: Bacteria
Description: partial 16S ribosomal RNA
Rfam family: Bacterial small subunit ribosomal RNA
Source: RNAcentral